RNAcentral lists this ribosomal RNA (264 nucleotides) under uncultured bacterium. RNAcentral describes it as "partial 16S ribosomal RNA". It matches the Rfam family "Bacterial small subunit ribosomal RNA", at positions 793 to 1055 of the family's 1533-position model. The record is from RNAcentral.
GUCCACGCCUUAAACGAUGGAUACUUGUUGUUGGAGGUAUUGACCCCUUCAGUGACGAAGCUAACGCGUUAAGUAUCCCGCCUGGGGAGUACGGUCGCAAGAUUAAAACUCAAAGAAAUUGACGGGGGCCCGCACAAGCGGUGGAGCAUGUGGUUUAAUUCGAUGCAACGCGAAGAACCUUACCUAGGCUUGACAUGAACUGGAAGAGUGGCAGAGAUGUCCUCGCUCGCAAGAGUCGGUUCACAGGUGCUGCAUGGCUGUCGU